This is a long non-coding RNA of Entelurus aequoreus (snake pipefish), 725 nucleotides long. RefSeq lists it as uncharacterized. The transcript is spliced from 3 exons. NCBI's taxonomy places the organism in Eukaryota, Metazoa, Chordata, Actinopteri, Syngnathiformes, Syngnathidae. The record is from RefSeq and is a predicted model, not a curated record.
UUCUUUGCACACAUUCGCAGCGACAUUCCCCCCCAAUUAUCCAAAGCUGUCAAACUAGCUUAGCUGGCUAGCCGGGUCAGUUAGCCACCUAGCCAGGAAGUUAGCUUGUUGGCUAACUGAGUUAGCUUGACCUGUCGAGAAAUAACAACAACACGCUUAAGUACGUCGCGGCGGCACACACCGACUGCCAUAAAAGUAACAAUGGCACUGAAAAAGUGCAGACGUUGAGAGAAAGAGUCCAAUUUGCCAACUAGGCUACGUGGCUACUAGCCCCAGCUAGCUAACUUGUUAGAGUGACGUGACGUCAAAGUUGUUCAUACGUGUCUCUUUCAAAGCAGGAGGCGCAAACUCAGGAGAGUUCACUGGCGUCACUUUAAUGACUGGAAUGGCCAUGAUGUGCCGAAGACCUGACAUGGCAAACAUUUUGUCACAGAAACACUGUGAACGGUGGAGAGGUCCUCGAGAGGUGAUCUUGGGAUCACUUCCUGAGGAUCCUUGAUGCCGAGGAAUGUUCAUCCAUCUUGCUGUGGUCUCGAUAGCCUGCUGAUCCUGAGCCGGAGCGGGAUGGAUGGAUAUAUAUAUACAAUAUCUGGGUUUUUUUUUCUAAUAAUGUUUAUACUUUAAACCUUGAGUUGUUAAAGUUCAAGUGCACCUCUUUCCUCAAGUGUGCAUGUGAGUGUGUAUGAGUGGAUGUGUGAUUGUAUGAAGGCUUUGCGUGAGCAAAG